Molecule: non-coding RNA, 68 nt
Filed under: Eubacteriales bacterium
Lineage: Bacteria; Bacillati; Bacillota; Clostridia; Eubacteriales
Source: RNAcentral
AGCCGAAACGGCCCCGCCUGGGCCGUCCGCCGGGAAUGGCCGCCCGGCGCUGAUGAUGGCAGGCCACA